GUCUCAGUUCGGAUCGGAGUCUGCAACCCGACUCCGUGAAGCUGGAUUCGCUAGUAAUCGCGCAUCAGCCAUGGCGCGGUGAAUACGUUCCCGGGCCUUGUACACACCGCCCGUCAAGCCAUGGAAGCCGGGGGUGCCUGAAGUGUGCAGCCGCAAGGAGCGCCCUAAGGUAAAACCGGUGACUGGGGCUAAGUCGUAACAAGGUAUC
Molecule: ribosomal RNA, 208 nt
Filed under: uncultured bacterium
Lineage: Bacteria
Description: partial 16S ribosomal RNA
Rfam family: Bacterial small subunit ribosomal RNA
Source: RNAcentral